This 67-nucleotide transfer RNA is filed under the name Marmota monax (woodchuck). Its description in RNAcentral is "tRNA.Ser". Lineage: Eukaryota; Metazoa; Chordata; Mammalia; Rodentia; Sciuridae. The record is from RNAcentral.
GGUUGUGGCUCAGAGGAAGAGUUCUUGCCUAGAAUGCGUGAGGCACUGGGUUUGAUCCUCAGCACCA